RNAcentral lists this ribosomal RNA (1760 nucleotides) under Escherichia coli. RNAcentral's name for it is "partial 23S ribosomal RNA". It matches the Rfam family "Bacterial large subunit ribosomal RNA", at positions 1177 to 2915 of the family's 2925-position model. Lineage: Bacteria; Pseudomonadati; Pseudomonadota; Gammaproteobacteria; Enterobacterales; Enterobacteriaceae. The record is from RNAcentral.
GGGGCUAAACCAUGCACCGAAGCUGCGGCAGCGACGCUGAUGCGUUGUUGGGUAGGGGAGCGUUCUGUAAGCCUGCGAAGGUGUGCUGUGAGGCAUGCUGGAGGUAUCAGAAGUGCGAAUGCUGACAUAAGUAACGAUAAAGCGGGUGAAAAGCCCGCUCGCCGGAAGACCAAGGGUUCCUGUCCAACGUUAAUCGGGGCAGGGUGAGUCGACCCCUAAGGCGAGGCCGAAAGGCGUAGUCGAUGGGAAACAGGUUAAUAUUCCUGUACUUGGUGUUACUGCGAAGGGGGGACGGAGAAGGCUAUGUUGGCCGGGCGACGGUUGUCCCGGUUUAAGCGUGUAGGCUGGUUUUCCAGGCAAAUCCGGAAAAUCAAGGCUGAGGCGUGAUGACGAGGCACUACGGUGCUGAAGCAACAAAUGCCCUGCUUCCAGGAAAAGCCUCUAAGCAUCAGGUAACAUCAAAUCGUACCCCAAACCGACACAGGUGGUCAGGUAGAGAAUACCAAGGCGCUUGAGAGAACUCGGGUGAAGGAACUAGGCAAAAUGGUGCCGUAACUUCGGGAGAAGGCACGCUGAUAUGUAGGUGAAGCGACUUGCUCGUGGAGCUGAAAUCAGUCGAAGAUACCAGCUGGCUGCAACUGUUUAUUAAAAACACAGCACUGUGCAAACACGAAAGUGGACGUAUACGGUGUGACGCCUGCCCGGUGCCGGAAGGUUAAUUGAUGGGGUCAGCGCAAGCGAAGCUCUUGAUCGAAGCCCCGGUAAACGGCGGCCGUAACUAUAACGGUCCUAAGGUAGCGAAAUUCCUUGUCGGGUAAGUUCCGACCUGCACGAAUGGCGUAAUGAUGGCCAGGCUGUCUCCACCCGAGACUCAGUGAAAUUGAACUCGCUGUGAAGAUGCAGUGUACCCGCGGCAAGACGGAAAGACCCCGUGAACCUUUACUAUAGCUUGACACUGAACAUUGAGCCUUGAUGUGUAGGAUAGGUGGGAGGCUUUGAAGUGUGGACGCCAGUCUGCAUGGAGCCGACCUUGAAAUACCACCCUUUAAUGUUUGAUGUUCUAACGUUGACCCGUGAUCCGGGUUGCGGACAGUGUCUGGUGGGUAGUUUGACUGGGGCGGUCUCCUCCUAAAGAGUAACGGAGGAGCACGAAGGUUGGCUAAUCCUGGUCGGACAUCAGGAGGUUAGUGCAAUGGCAUAAGCCAGCUUGACUGCGAGCGUGACGGCGCGAGCAGGUGCGAAAGCAGGUCAUAGUGAUCCGGUGGUUCUGAAUGGAAGGGCCAUCGCUCAACGGAUAAAAGGUACUCCGGGGAUAACAGGCUGAUACCGCCCAAGAGUUCAUAUCGACGGCGGUGUUUGGCACCUCGAUGUCGGCUCAUCACAUCCUGGGGCUGAAGUAGGUCCCAAGGGUAUGGCUGUUCGCCAUUUAAAGUGGUACGCGAGCUGGGUUUAGAACGUCGUGAGACAGUUCGGUCCCUAUCUGCCGUGGGCGCUGGAGAACUGAGGGGGGCUGCUCCUAGUACGAGAGGACCGGAGUGGACGCAUCACUGGUGUUCGGGUUGUCAUGCCAAUGGCACUGCCCGGUAGCUAAAUGCGGAAGAGAUAAGUGCUGAAAGCAUCUAAGCACGAAACUUGCCCCGAGAUGAGUUCUCCCUGACUCCUUGAGAGUCCUGAAGGAACGUUGAAGACGACGACGUUGAUAGGCCGGGUGUGUAAGCGCAGCGAUGCGUUGAGCUAACCGGUACUAAUGAACCGUGAGG